Molecule: ribosomal RNA, 467 nt
Filed under: uncultured bacterium
Lineage: Bacteria
Description: partial 16S ribosomal RNA
Rfam family: Bacterial small subunit ribosomal RNA
Source: RNAcentral
GACGAACGCUGGCGGCGUGCUUAACACAUGCAAGUCGAACGGAAAGGCCUCUUUCUUGUGGUACUCGAGUGGCGAACGGGUGAGUAACACGUGAGUAACCUGCCCUUGACUUUGGGUUAACUUCAGGAAACUGGGGCUAAUACCGCAUAGGAGCUCCUGCUCCAUGGUGGGGGUUGGAAAGUUUCGGCGGUUGGGGAUGGACUCACGGCUUAUCAGCUUGUUGGUGGGGUAGUUGCUUACCAAGGCUUUGACGGGUAGCCGGGCUGAGAGGGUGGACGGCCACAUUGGGACUGAGAUACGGCCCAGACUCCUACGGGAGGCAGCAGUGGGGAAUAUUGCACAAUGGGUGGAAGCAUGAUGCAGCAACGCCGUGUGCGGGAUGACGGCCUUCGGGUUGUAAACCGCUUUCGCUCAUGACGAAGCUUUGUGUGACGGUAGUGGGUAAAGAAGCACCGGCUAACUACGUG